Molecule: unclassified non-coding RNA, 222 nt
Filed under: Hevea brasiliensis (rubber tree)
Lineage: Eukaryota; Viridiplantae; Streptophyta; Magnoliopsida; Malpighiales; Euphorbiaceae
Source: RNAcentral
AAAAAAAAAAAAAAGAAAUAAAUAAAUCUAGCGGAGUAUCCCAUCAAAAAUUGAUAUGCAUGCAUCUACAAAUUAAAAUGCCAAAUGUAAACAUUCAUAAACUAACUUUUUUUUUUUGCAGUAUUUAUUAGUUACCUGUGUGAUACCGAAAGCAAGGAAUAAAAUAACAAGAGAUAGUGAUUAAAAGACAGUGAGACAAACUGUAGUUCCAAUAAAAAAAAG